This 429-nucleotide ribosomal RNA is filed under the name Bacteroidota bacterium. RNAcentral's name for it is "Bacteroidetes bacterium partial 16S ribosomal RNA". It matches the Rfam family "Bacterial small subunit ribosomal RNA", at positions 355 to 776 of the family's 1533-position model. The record is from RNAcentral. Lineage: Bacteria; Pseudomonadati; Bacteroidota.
UAGGGAAUCUUCCGCAAUGGACGCAAGUCUGACGGAGCAACGCCGCGUGAGUGAAGAAGGAUUUCGGUUCGUAAAACUCUGUUGUUAGAGAAGAACAGCGCAUAGAGUAACUGUUAUGCGUGUGACGGUAUCUAACCAGAAAGCCACGGCUAACUACGUGCCAGCAGCCGCGGUAAUACGUAGGUGGCAAGCGUUGUCCGGAUUUAUUGGGCGUAAAGCGAGCGCAGGCGGUCAAUUAAGUCUGAUGUGAAAGCCCCCGGCUCAACCGGGGAGGGUCAUUGGAAACUGGUUGACUUGAGUGCAGAAGAGGAGAGUGGAAUUCCAUGUGUAACGGUGAAAUGCGUAGAUAUAUGGAGGAACACCAGUGGCGAAGGCGACUCUCUGGUCUGUAACUGACGCUGAGGCUCGAAAGCGUGGGUAGCAACCAGG